Molecule: non-coding RNA, 380 nt
Organism: Prunus avium (sweet cherry)
Lineage: Eukaryota; Viridiplantae; Streptophyta; Magnoliopsida; Rosales; Rosaceae
Source: RefSeq, a predicted model, not a curated record
ACCUCCCCUUCAAAAAACACAUCAAAUAUUCCAACAUUUUAAAACAAGAAAAGCAAAUACAAAAUACAAAAAUAGAAAUAAAAAAUUCAAUUCUUGUGAUGCGUAUUUAUAAAUACCCCACCGUAACAGUCUUCCCUCCUCACACUCUCUCAUAUAUCAUUUUCUCUUUCCUAGUCUUUUCUCUUCUUCGUUCUUCUUCACCCCUGUCCUAAAUUCACCAGAAGUUAAAAGGCUGCAAAUUGAGCACAAGAUCCAGUCCAACCCAGAACUUGUAACUAAACUCUUUGAGAUAUGGCUACUGAGUAUAAACCGAAGAACAUCCUGAUUACUGGAGCUGCUGGCUUCAUUGCAUCCCAUGUUUGCAACCGGCUUAUCCGGAA